GACGAACGCUGGCGGCGUGCUUAACACAUGCAAGUCGAGCGGUAAGGCCCUUUCGGGGGUACACGAGCGGCGAACGGGUGAGUAACACGUGGGUGACCUGCCCUCAGCUCUGGGAUAAGCCUGGGAAACUGGGUCUAAUACCGGAUAUGACUCCAUGACGCAUGUUGUGGGGUGGAAAGCCUUGUGCAGCUGAGGAUGGGGCCCGCGGCCUAUCAGCUUGNGGUGGGGUGAUGGCCUACCAAGGCGACGACGGGUAGCCGGCCUGAGAGGGCGACCGGCCACACUGGGACUGAGACACGGCCCAGACUCCUACGGGAGGCAGCAGUGGGGAAUCUUGCGCAAUGGGCGAAAGCCUGACGCAGCGACGCCGCGUGAGGGAUGACGGCCU
RNAcentral lists this ribosomal RNA (388 nucleotides) under uncultured bacterium. RNAcentral describes it as "bacterial SSU rRNA". It matches the Rfam family "Bacterial small subunit ribosomal RNA", at positions 28 to 417 of the family's 1533-position model. The record is from RNAcentral.